Molecule: long non-coding RNA, 1309 nt
Filed under: Olea europaea subsp. europaea
Lineage: Eukaryota; Viridiplantae; Streptophyta; Magnoliopsida; Lamiales; Oleaceae
Source: RNAcentral
AUGAAAGUCAAUAGAUAAUUCCAUAUCAUUCCAUUCCAUGCUUACAAUUUAGUUUGUAUAAAACACUUGUAUCAAAGUCAUGGGUGUGGUAGAAAAGAAACUACAUUCGAGUUCGUUGGUCAAAGUCAUUUGGAGUGCUCUUAUGGCUUGAUGUGGUCGUUGUAUUUUAGGAGAUGAUUACCGGAAAAUCGUUAGCACCAAUGCGGGACAAAUUCAUCUUAAGGACAAAGUGUCUAACACUUGCAUCGGCCGAUCGCAUCACUCGCAUCUCACCUUGAUUCUUUCUGAUUUUUUCUUCGUAUUUAAUUUCAGAAAAUUAAUAACAUUCUUUUAAUUUCAUUUAGAUUUGAAAUAAAGAAAGGAAAUGAAUGAAAUCUAUCGUUUCAUUUUCCCAAAUCCAUUUCAGUAAGACGAAACUGCGUUUAGAUUUUGUGAACAUAAAUGACAUGUGUUUGUGAAUAUGAUAUGCACAAUAUGUGUAAUUUUCCAACAACUGAGCAGUGAGCAUUGCAAACAUGAUAUUUGUGGAGUCGAAUCACUGAUCAAAAUGAUAAAUUGUAAAAAUAAAAAAAUUAUACAAAAAUAACAAAUUGGAUGAAUACGGAAUACCUGCAAUUCCCGUUCAAGAAUCAAGAACCUGUCAGAACUCGAUUUUUCCGAACUCAAAACUUCAGUUCCAAUUCAAAGGGUGAUGCCCACCACUUAGCUCCAGUUUAUAAACGUUUGAAGCUCUCUUUCCCUCGUUUCUAUCAUUCAUUCCUUUUUCCCCUCAUCUCUUCUGUGGGUGGUUUCUUUUCUGCAUAACAGAAAAUCCAUUUUUUUGUCGGUCAGUUUCAAGUUCUGAUUUGGGUUCUAUGGAACUUAGGACAUUCGAAUUAUUUAUUUCAUACGUAUUCAUAAUUAGAUAUGCAUGUAACUCUACUUGUAUUAAGCUCUUUUAUUUGGAUCCGACAAGCUUACUGCUAGUUUAGCACUGAUUAAUUUGAUGGAUCAUUUUCCCAGGUGGAUAAAUAGAUUUCUAGAUGGCUUCAGCUAUGCUAUCUCUUGCGUCUGCUUCACUCUCAUUGCAAGAGAAUCUCAGGGUACCCAUUCACUAACGAUAUUAAAUAAUAGUGUACAAACAAUUCCUAUUUAAUCACGAUAAACUUCUUUUUACUUCUUUGUAUCUGAGUAAGGAAUGGCAAUCUGAAAUUUUUUACUUUGAAGAAUUGAAAUUCAUUAUUUUUCUUGCUUCUCGGUUUUACCAGACUAAUUGGAAGCCCGGAACUUCUAGGCAAAUUAAAUGCUUGGGAUCAGAUUUUAGCAAGAC